UGGAAGAGACUUCUGGGUUAUAAUGUUGCAUACUUGCAUCUAUGCAUUUCUGUUUGAAUUUAUAUAAUCUAUUACUUGUUAUAGGCAAUGUCUAAGAAAGUAAUCACAAGAUAAGAGUGGGAGAAGAAGCUGAACAAUGUUAGGAUUAGAAAAGAGGACAUGAAUAAACUAGUGAUGAACUUCCUAGUCACUGAGGGUUAUGUGGAAGUAGCAGAGAAAUUCAGAAAGGAAUCUGGGACAGAACCUGACAUAGAUCUUGCAACCAUUACUGACUGGGUGGCUGUGAAAAAGGCAGUAUAAUGUGGUGACGUUGAGGAUGCUAUUGAAAAGGUCAAUGAUUUGAACCCUGAGAAGCCCCAACUUGUCAAAGGAAAUAUGCAACUAUUAUCAGUGGAUCAGCAACGUAGUCAAGCUCUUGAAGCCCAUGCUGCAUCAUUUACCUCAUCAUUUCGAGUGAGAGAAGCUCCUUGCCACAAAUCUUUUAUUGACUCUGCUACCAUAUUUUUUGUUAUAGUUGGUGUUUAAUUUAAACAAAUAGCAGGAAAUGAUAAGGUUCUAUGCUCAUUUCAUUUGCAACAAAGACCUCAUAUGUAAUUUCAUUUAUUGUUCUUUACAAGUACCAUAGUAAUUUGUAUUGUUUUAA
Ipomoea nil (Japanese morning glory) is the source of this 643-nucleotide long non-coding RNA. RefSeq lists it as uncharacterized. Lineage: Eukaryota; Viridiplantae; Streptophyta; Magnoliopsida; Solanales; Convolvulaceae. The transcript has 3 exons. The record is from RefSeq and is a predicted model, not a curated record.